This is a non-coding RNA of Pelobates cultripes (western spadefoot toad), 270 nucleotides long. Lineage: Eukaryota; Metazoa; Chordata; Amphibia; Anura; Pelobatidae. The record is from the annotation of a GenBank genome assembly.
CAGUGAUUUAUUUAGUGAUUUCCAGUGAGCUUUUAUUCAGUUAAAACAAUCCGUAAAAAGAAAAAUCUGAUUCCAGAUUGUACCAUUUAUCGUUAAUGUUUUACUCAUAUGACAACCUUAAACUGGGAGGAAAAUUAAAAUUAACCUGCCCACUGGGCCAUUUUCUGCCAAUACAGUGUCAAUUUGUAUUUGUUAGCAGCUUAGUUGCACACUUUGUUUAGAAACACCUCUUCAUCACUUUAAGCAUUUAUGGUUUAACUUUGAAUCUUC